This 289-nucleotide ribosomal RNA is filed under the name uncultured bacterium. Its description in RNAcentral is "partial 16S ribosomal RNA". It matches the Rfam family "Bacterial small subunit ribosomal RNA", at positions 773 to 1060 of the family's 1533-position model. The record is from RNAcentral.
GUGGAUUAGAUACCCUGGUAGUCCUAGCUGUAAACGAUGGGUACUAGGUGUUGACCGUAUCGACCCGGUCAGUGCCGUAGCUAACGCGUUAAGUACCCCGCCUGGGGAGUAUGCACGCAAGUGUGAAACUCAAAGGAAUUGACGGGGGCCCGCACAAGCGGUGGAGUAUGUGGUUUAAUUCGAUGCAACGCGAAGAACCUUACCAGGGCUUGACAUGUCGCGAAUCUCGGUGAAAGUCGAGAGUGCCUUCGGGAGCGCGAACACAGGUGGAGCACGGCCGUCGCCAGCU